Molecule: ribosomal RNA, 223 nt
Filed under: Clostridioides difficile
Lineage: Bacteria; Bacillati; Bacillota; Clostridia; Peptostreptococcales; Peptostreptococcaceae
Description: partial 23S ribosomal RNA
Rfam family: Bacterial large subunit ribosomal RNA
Source: RNAcentral
ACUUACAAGCUGUGAAAGCACAUUUCUUGUGUGACCGCGUACUUUUUGUAGAGCGGGCAAACGAGUUACGUUAAGUAGCAAGGUUAAGCACUUAAGGUGUAGAGCCGUAGCGAAAGCGAGUUUUAACUGAGCGUUCAGUUACUUGACGUAGACCCGAAACCGGGCGACCUACCCAUGAGCAGGAUGAAGCGAAAGUAAAAUUUCGUGAAGGGCCGAACCCACG